RNAcentral lists this ribosomal RNA (427 nucleotides) under uncultured prokaryote. RNAcentral's name for it is "bacterial SSU rRNA". It matches the Rfam family "Bacterial small subunit ribosomal RNA", at positions 355 to 774 of the family's 1533-position model. The record is from RNAcentral.
UCGAGAAUAAUUCGCAAUGGGCGAAAGCCUGACGAUGCGACGCCGCGUGAACGAUGAAGGCCUUCGGGUUGUAACGUUCUGUUGUCCUGGAACAAGAGUGAUCGUCGAAUAGGCGGCCACGAUGAGGGUACAGGAAGAGGAAGCACCGGCUAAUUCCGUGCCAGCAGCCGCGGUAAUACGGGGGGUGCGAGCGUUGUUCGGAAUUAUUGGGCGUAAAGAGCGUGUAGGCGGCUGAAUAAGUCAGAUGUGAAAUCCCUGGGCUUAACCCAGGACGUGCAUUUGAAACUAUUCGGCUAGAGUAGGGGAGAGGAAAUUGGAAUUCCUGGUGUAGAGGUGAAAUUCGUAGAUAUCAGGAGGAACGCCAGUGGCGAAGGCGGCUUUCUGGACUGUAACUGACGCUGAGGCACGAGAGCGUUGGGAGCAAAGA